Cygnus olor (mute swan) is the source of this 360-nucleotide long non-coding RNA. RefSeq lists it as uncharacterized. The record is from RefSeq and is a predicted model, not a curated record. Lineage: Eukaryota; Metazoa; Chordata; Aves; Anseriformes; Anatidae. The transcript has 2 exons.
CAAGCACUCAGGAGCUGAGAUAUGUUGUAGGAGGGGUGUUUGGGAGCCCUCAUCCCCUGGUAGUGAUGCCCACUGUUGCUGCCCACUGCUGACCCGUUCUCUGAAGCUGGAUGGUGGUGAGCUGAGGCUUGCAGGAACCUGCUGCUGCUCCUGGCUGCCUCGGGGAUGAGUUGAGCUUCGAGUGCUGCCGCUUCCAAAGCAGGGCUGAGAGCGCAGCCAGCCGAGCGCCCGGGGAGCUGCAGCCGCCGGGGGCGCCGCUCCCUUCCCGGGGUGCGCGGAGCAGGCGUGGGAAAGCGCUUUUAUUUUCGUUAAAUGGCUUUUCCUCAAAGUUCAUAGACCGUUUCACGGCCAUAAGUGGAA